AUGCACGCUGGCGGCGUGCCUCAUCCAUGCCAGUCGCGCGAACAGACGAGGAGCUUGCUCCUCUGACGUUAGCGGCGGACGGGUGAGUAACACGUGGAUAACCUACCUAUAAGACUGGGAUAACUUCGGGAAACCGGAGCUAAUACCGGAUAAUAUAUUGAACCGCAUGGUUCAAUAGUGAAAGACGGUUUUGCUGUCACUUAUAGAUGGAUCCGCGCCGCAUUAGCUAGUUGGUAAGGUAACGGCUUACCAAGGCAACGAUGCGUAGCCGACCUGAGAGGGUGAUCGGCCACACUGGAACUGAGACACGGUCCAGACUCCUACGGGAGGCAGCAGUAGGGAAUCUUCCGCAAUGGGCGAAAGCUUGACGGAGCAACGCCGCGUGAGUGAUGAAGGUCUUCGGAUCGUAAAACUCUGUUAUUAGGGAAGAACAAAUGUGUAAGUAACUAUGCACGUCUUGACGGUACCUAAUCAGAAAGCCACGGCUAACUACGUG
RNAcentral lists this ribosomal RNA (496 nucleotides) under uncultured bacterium. RNAcentral describes it as "partial 16S ribosomal RNA". It matches the Rfam family "Bacterial small subunit ribosomal RNA", at positions 29 to 507 of the family's 1533-position model. The record is from RNAcentral.